RNAcentral lists this ribosomal RNA (406 nucleotides) under uncultured bacterium. RNAcentral describes it as "partial 16S ribosomal RNA". It matches the Rfam family "Bacterial small subunit ribosomal RNA", at positions 30 to 526 of the family's 1533-position model. The record is from RNAcentral.
AUUGAACGCUGGCGGCAGGCCUAACACAUGCAAGUCGGGCGGGCGGCGGACGGGUGAGUAAUAGAUGGGGAUCUGCCUGAUGGAGGGGGAUAACUACUGGAAACGGGAGCUAAUACCGAAUACCAACAGCUGAACCCAUAUGGGAUUAGCUUGUAGGUGAGGUAACGGCUAACCUAGGCGACGAGCCCUAGCUGGUCUGAGAGGAUGAUCAUCCACACUGGGACUGAGACACGGCCCAGACUCCUACGGGAGGCAGCAGUGGGGAAUAUUGCACAAUGGGCGCAAGCCUGAUGCAGCCAUGCCGCGUGUAUGAAGAAGGCCUUCGGGUUGUAAAGUACUUUCAGUCUGGAGGCGUUACCGACAGAAGAAGCACCGGCUAACUACGUGCCAGCAGCCGCGGUAAUUC